GGGGAUGAAGCUCAGUGGCAGAGCACUUGUCUAGUAUGUGUGAGGCCCUGGGUUCAAUCUCCAGUAUUGCCA
RNAcentral lists this transfer RNA (72 nucleotides) under Ictidomys tridecemlineatus (thirteen-lined ground squirrel). Its description in RNAcentral is "Spermophilus tridecemlineatus (thirteen-lined ground squirrel) tRNA". It matches the Rfam family "tRNA". From Rfam's summary of the family: Transfer RNA (tRNA) molecules are approximately 80 nucleotides in length. The record is from Rfam by way of RNAcentral. Lineage: Eukaryota; Metazoa; Chordata; Mammalia; Rodentia; Sciuridae.